Molecule: long non-coding RNA, 125 nt
Organism: Pipistrellus kuhlii (Kuhl's pipistrelle)
Lineage: Eukaryota; Metazoa; Chordata; Mammalia; Chiroptera; Vespertilionidae
Exons: 3
Source: RefSeq, a predicted model, not a curated record
GGCAGUUUUCUGGGGGAGAUGGGAGCAGGCAGGAUUUUUGUCUUUGGGUUGGUAGGUUACUACAAGAUGAGGGACACAAGGAAAGCCUGUGGGCCCCGGAGGCAUAGACUCCAGGGAAGAAUGUG